This 526-nucleotide ribosomal RNA is filed under the name uncultured bacterium. RNAcentral describes it as "bacterial SSU rRNA". It matches the Rfam family "Bacterial small subunit ribosomal RNA", at positions 355 to 896 of the family's 1533-position model. The record is from RNAcentral.
UAGGGAAUAUUGGGCAAUGGGCGAAAGCCUGACCCAGCAACGCCGCGUGCGCGAUGAAGGCCUUCGGGUCGUAAAGCGCUUUUGAGAGGGACGAGAUAGGACGGUACCUCUGGAAUAAGUCACGGCUAACUACGUGCCAGCAGCCGCGGUAAAACGUAGGUGGCAAGCGUUAUCCGGAUUCACUGGGCGUAAAGCGCGUGCAGGUGGCUUCGUAAGUUGGACGUUAAAUCUCCCGGCCUAACCGGGAGGAGUCGUUCAAUACUGCGGGGCUGGAGGGCAGAAGAGGGGGGUGGAAUUGCUGGUGUAGUGGUGAAAUGCGUAGAUAUCAGCAGGAACACCCGUGGCGAAAGCGGCCCCCUGGUCUGCUCCUGACACUCAGACGCGAAAGCUAGGGGAGUGAACGGGAUUAGAAACCCCGGUAAUCCUAGCCGUAAACGAUGGAUGCUAGGUGUGGGUGGUAUUGACCCCAUCCGUGCCGAAGCUAACGCGUUAAGCAUCCCGCCUGGGGACUACGGCCGCAAGGUUA